AACGCACGAGACCUGCGGACCUGCGGAGGGAUCAUUACCGAGUUUAGACUCCCAAACCCCGUGAGAACCCUACUCCGUUGCCUCGGCGGGACCGCCCCGGCGCCCACGGCGGCCCGGACACAGGCGCCCGCCGGAGGGCCCCGAGACUCAGCUCUGUCAGCGGCAUGUCGGCGUACAAGCACAAAAAUGAAUCAAAACUUUCAGCAACGGAUCUCU
Molecule: unclassified non-coding RNA, 216 nt
Filed under: soil metagenome
Description: partial contains 5.8S ribosomal RNA, internal transcribed spacer 2, and large subunit ribosomal RNA
Source: RNAcentral